RNAcentral lists this ribosomal RNA (1588 nucleotides) under Acinetobacter baumannii. RNAcentral's name for it is "bacterial SSU rRNA". It matches the Rfam family "Bacterial small subunit ribosomal RNA". The record is from RNAcentral. RNAcentral also lists the same sequence under 1 other name. Lineage: Bacteria; Pseudomonadati; Pseudomonadota; Gammaproteobacteria; Moraxellales; Moraxellaceae.
GAUGAGCCAGAAUUGGCACCUUGUCUUUAAAUAAGGUGCAAAAUGAUUUUAACUGAAGAGUUUGAUCAUGGCUCAGAUUGAACGCUGGCGGCAGGCUUAACACAUGCAAGUCGAGCGGAGAGAGGUAGCUUGCUACUGAUCUUAGCGGCGGACGGGUGAGUAAUGCUUAGGAAUCUGCCUAUUAGUGGGGGACAACAUUUCGAAAGGAAUGCUAAUACCGCAUACGUCCUACGGGAGAAAGCAGGGGAUCUUCGGACCUUGCGCUAAUAGAUGAGCCUAAGUCGGAUUAGCUAGUUGGUGGGGUAAAGGCCUACCAAGGCGACGAUCUGUAGCGGGUCUGAGAGGAUGAUCCGCCACACUGGGACUGAGACACGGCCCAGACUCCUACGGGAGGCAGCAGUGGGGAAUAUUGGACAAUGGGCGCAAGCCUGAUCCAGCCAUGCCGCGUGUGUGAAGAAGGCCUUAUGGUUGUAAAGCACUUUAAGCGAGGAGGAGGCUACUUUAGUUAAUACCUAGAGAUAGUGGACGUUACUCGCAGAAUAAGCACCGGCUAACUCUGUGCCAGCAGCCGCGGUAAUACAGAGGGUGCAAGCGUUAAUCGGAUUUACUGGGCGUAAAGCGCGCGUAGGCGGCUAAUUAAGUCAAAUGUGAAAUCCCCGAGCUUAACUUGGGAAUUGCAUUCGAUACUGGUUAGCUAGAGUGUGGGAGAGGAUGGUAGAAUUCCAGGUGUAGCGGUGAAAUGCGUAGAGAUCUGGAGGAAUACCGAUGGCGAAGGCAGCCAUCUGGCCUAACACUGACGCUGAGGUGCGAAAGCAUGGGGAGCAAACAGGAUUAGAUACCCUGGUAGUCCAUGCCGUAAACGAUGUCUACUAGCCGUUGGGGCCUUUGAGGCUUUAGUGGCGCAGCUAACGCGAUAAGUAGACCGCCUGGGGAGUACGGUCGCAAGACUAAAACUCAAAUGAAUUGACGGGGGCCCGCACAAGCGGUGGAGCAUGUGGUUUAAUUCGAUGCAACGCGAAGAACCUUACCUGGCCUUGACAUAGUAAGAACUUUCCAGAGAUGGAUUGGUGCCUUCGGGAACUUACAUACAGGUGCUGCAUGGCUGUCGUCAGCUCGUGUCGUGAGAUGUUGGGUUAAGUCCCGCAACGAGCGCAACCCUUUUCCUUAUUUGCCAGCGAGUAAUGUCGGGAACUUUAAGGAUACUGCCAGUGACAAACUGGAGGAAGGCGGGGACGACGUCAAGUCAUCAUGGCCCUUACGGCCAGGGCUACACACGUGCUACAAUGGUCGGUACAAAGGGUUGCUACCUAGCGAUAGGAUGCUAAUCUCAAAAAGCCGAUCGUAGUCCGGAUUGGAGUCUGCAACUCGACUCCAUGAAGUCGGAAUCGCUAGUAAUCGCGGAUCAGAAUGCCGCGGUGAAUACGUUCCCGGGCCUUGUACACACCGCCCGUCACACCAUGGGAGUUUGUUGCACCAGAAGUAGCUAGCCUAACUGCAAAGAGGGCGGUUACCACGGUGUGGCCGAUGACUGGGGUGAAGUCGUAACAAGGUAGCCGUAGGGGAACCUGCGGCUGGAUCACCUCCUUAA